UACCGCAUAGCGCAGUGGAUUACCGCGUUUGAUUUCGGAUCAAAAGGUCGUGGGUUCGAUUCCUAAUGUGAUUG
Non-coding RNA from Picea glauca (white spruce), 74 nucleotides. The record is from Rfam. Lineage: Eukaryota; Viridiplantae; Streptophyta; Pinopsida; Pinales; Pinaceae.